AUACGGAGGGUGCAAGCGUUACUCGGAAUCACUGGGCGUAAAGCGCGCGCAGGCGGCGCGAUAAGUUGGAUGUGAAAGCCUACGGCUCAACCGUAGAACUGCAUCCAAAACAGUCGGGCUAGAGUCUGGGAGGGGAAGAUGGAAUUAGUUGUGUAGGGGUAAAAUCCGUAGAGAUAACUAGGAAUACCAAAAGCGAAGGCGAUCUUCUGGAACAGUACUGACGCUGAGGCGCGAAAGCGUGGGGAGCAAACAGGAUUAGAAACCCUAGUAGUCC
This 274-nucleotide ribosomal RNA is filed under the name uncultured bacterium. RNAcentral's name for it is "partial 16S ribosomal RNA". It matches the Rfam family "Bacterial small subunit ribosomal RNA", at positions 523 to 796 of the family's 1533-position model. The record is from RNAcentral.